RNAcentral lists this ribosomal RNA (402 nucleotides) under uncultured bacterium. RNAcentral describes it as "bacterial SSU rRNA". It matches the Rfam family "Bacterial small subunit ribosomal RNA", at positions 355 to 774 of the family's 1533-position model. The record is from RNAcentral.
UGGGGAAUCUUGCACAAUGGGGGAAACCCUGAUGCAGCGACGCCGCGUGAACGAUGAAGCCCUUCGGGGUGUAAAGUUCUUUCGACAGGAACGAUAAUGACGGUACCUGGAGAAGAAGCUGCGGCUAACUACGUGCCAGCAGCCGCGGUAAUACGUAGGCAGCGAGCGUUGUUCGGAGUUACUGGGCGUAAAGAGUGCGUAGGCGGCGAGCCAAGUUUGGUGUGAAAUCUCCCGGCUUAACCGGGAGGGUGCGCCGAAAACUGGUUGGCUGGAGUAUGGGAGAGGAAAGCGGAAUUCCUGGUGUAGCGGUGAAAUGCGUAGAUAUCUGGAAGAACACCAGUGGCGAAGGCGGUCAACUGGCCCAUAACUGACGCUCAUGCACGAAAGCGUGGGGAGCAAACA